RNAcentral lists this ribosomal RNA (408 nucleotides) under uncultured ammonia-oxidizing bacterium. RNAcentral describes it as "bacterial SSU rRNA". It matches the Rfam family "Bacterial small subunit ribosomal RNA", at positions 198 to 597 of the family's 1533-position model. The record is from RNAcentral.
AGGGGAUCGUAAGACCUUGCGCUUUUGGAGCGGCCGAUGUCUGAUUAGCUAGUUGGUGGGGUAAUGGCCUACCAAAGCUUCGAUCAGUAGCUGGUCUGAGAGGACGGCCAGCCACACUGGGAGUGAGACACGGCCCAGACUCCUACGGGAGGCAGCAGUGGGGAAUUUUGGACAAUGGGCGCAAGCCUGAUCCAGCCAUGCCGCGUGAGUGAAGAAGGCCUUCGGGUUGUAAAGCUCUUUCAGCCGGGAAGAAAAGGCUGCGACUAAUAAUCGCAGUUCAUGACGGUACCGGAAGAAGAAGCACCGGCUAACUACGUGCCAGCAGCCGCGGUAAUACGUAGGGUGCGAGCGUUAAUCGGAAUUACUGGGCGUAAAGGGUGCGCAGGCGGUUUUGUAAGUCAGAUGUGA